CCUAAUUCAUAAAGAUGCCACUUGUUUAAAACUCAGUUUUGUUUUAUAGGUAUUAUCCUUAUCAUUAUGCACCUUUCCUAUCUGAUAUACGCAACAUCAGUACACUCAAAAUCCAUUUUGAACUAGGAAAACCUUUUAAGCCAUUUGAACAGCUUCUUGCUGUACUUCCAGCAGCCAGCAAAAAUUUACUUCCUACAUGCUACCAGCAUUUGAUGACCAAUGAAGACUCACCAAUUAUAGAAUAUUACCCACUUGAUUUUAAAACUGACCUAAAUGGGAAACAACAGGAAUGGGAAGCUGUGGUGUUAAUCCCUUUUAUUGA
RNAcentral lists this small RNA (322 nucleotides) under Pongo abelii (Sumatran orangutan). RNAcentral's name for it is "retained intron". The record is from RNAcentral. Lineage: Eukaryota; Metazoa; Chordata; Mammalia; Primates; Hominidae.